GGGGCUGUAGCUCAGCUGGGAGAGCGUCUGAAUGGCAUUCAGAAGGUCGUCGGUUCGAUCCCGAUCAGCUCCA
This 73-nucleotide transfer RNA is filed under the name Deltaproteobacteria bacterium. RNAcentral describes it as "tRNA-Ala". It matches the Rfam family "tRNA". From Rfam's summary of the family: Transfer RNA (tRNA) molecules are approximately 80 nucleotides in length. Their secondary structure includes four short double-helical elements and three loops (D, anti-codon, and T loops). Further hydrogen bonds mediate the characteristic L-shaped molecular structure. tRNAs have two regions of fundamental functional importance: the anti-codon, which is responsible for specific mRNA codon recognition, and the 3' end, to which the tRNAs corresponding amino acid is attached (by aminoacyl-tRNA synthetases). tRNAs cope with the degeneracy of the genetic code in two manners: having more than one tRNA (with a specific anti-codon) for a particular amino acid; and 'wobble' base-pairing, i.e. permitting non-standard base-pairing at the 3rd anti-codon position. The record is from RNAcentral. Lineage: Bacteria; Pseudomonadati; Myxococcota; Myxococcia. RNAcentral also lists the same sequence under 1 other name.